RNAcentral lists this ribosomal RNA (452 nucleotides) under uncultured bacterium. RNAcentral's name for it is "bacterial SSU rRNA". It matches the Rfam family "Bacterial small subunit ribosomal RNA", at positions 329 to 792 of the family's 1533-position model. The record is from RNAcentral.
UACCAGACUCCUACGGGAGGCAGCAGUCGAGAAUCAUUCACAAUGGGGGAAACCCUGAUGGUGCGACGCCGCGUGGGGGAAUGAAGGUCUUCGGAUUGUAAACCCCUGUCAUGUGGGAGCAAAUUAAAAAGAUAGUACCACAAGAGGAAGAGACGGCUAACUCUGUGCCAGCAGCCGCGGUAAUACAGAGGUCUCAAGCGUUGUUCGGAAUCACUGGGCGUAAAGCGUGCGUAGGCUGUUUCGUAAGUCGUGUGUGAAAGGCGCGGGCUCAACCCGCGGACGGCACAUGAUACUGCGAGACUAGAGUAAUGGAGGGGGAACCGGAAUUCUCGGUGUAGCAGUGAAAUGCGUAGAUAUCGAGAGGAACACUCGUGGCGAAGGCAGCAUACCGGCGCUCAACUGACGCUCAUGCACGAAAGUGUGGGUAUCGAACAGGAUUAGAUACCCCAGUA